Molecule: ribosomal RNA, 497 nt
Filed under: uncultured bacterium
Lineage: Bacteria
Description: partial 16S ribosomal RNA
Rfam family: Bacterial small subunit ribosomal RNA
Source: RNAcentral
GAUGAACGCUGGCGGCGUGCCUAAUACAUGCAAGUCGAGCGAACAGACGAGGAGCUUGCUCCUCUGACGUUAGCGGCGGACGGGUGAGUAACACGUGGAUAACCUACCUAUAAGACUGGGAUAACUUCGGGAAACCGGAGCUAAUACCGGAUAAUAUAUUGAACCGCAUGGUUCAAUAGUGAAAGACGGUUUUGCUGUCACUUAUAGUUGGAUCCGCGCCGCAUUAGCUAGUUGGUAAGGUAACGGCUUACCAAGGCAACGAUGCGUAGCCGACCUGAGAGGGUGAUCGGCCACACUGGAACUGAGACACAGUCCAGACUCCUACGGGAGGCAGCAGUAGGGAAUCUUCCGCAAUGGGCGAAAGCUUGACGGAGCAACGCCGCGUGAGUGAUGAAGGUCUUCGGAUCGUAAAACUCUGUUAUUAGGGAAGAACAAAUGUGUAAGUAACUAUGCACGUCUUGACGGUACCUAAUCAGAAAGCCACGGCUAACUACGUG